Podarcis lilfordi (Lilford's wall lizard) is the source of this 75-nucleotide non-coding RNA. The record is from the annotation of a GenBank genome assembly. Lineage: Eukaryota; Metazoa; Chordata; Lepidosauria; Squamata; Lacertidae.
GUCCUGGGAUAGCUCAGUCGGCAGAGCGUGAGAAUCUUAAUCUGCAGGUUGUGGGUUCGAGCCCUACGUUGGACA